GACGAACGCUGGCGGCGUGCUUAACACAUGCAAGUCGAGCGAUGAAGCACCUUCGGGUGUGAAUUAGCGGCGAACGGGUGAGGAACACGUGAAGAAUCUGCCUUCCACUCUGGGAUAACUCCGGGAAACCGGGGCUAAUACCGGAUAUGCGCCUUGAGCGCAUGUUAGGGGCUGGAAAGUUUUUCGGUUGAAGAUGACUUCGCGGCCUAUCAGCUUGUUGGUGAGGUAAUGGCUUACCAAGGCGACGACGGGUAGCCGGCCUGAGAGGGCGACCGGCCACACUGGUACUGAGGCACGGCCCAGACUCCUACGGGAGGCAGCAGAGGGGAAUAUUGGGCAAUGGAGGAAACUCGGACCCGGCGACGCCGCGUGAGGGAUGAAGGCCUUCGGGUUGUAAACCUCUUUCAGUAGGGCAGAAGCGAAGGUGACGGUAUCUACAGAAGAAGCACCGGCUAACUAUGUGCCAGCCGCCGCCGUAA
RNAcentral lists this ribosomal RNA (479 nucleotides) under uncultured bacterium. Its description in RNAcentral is "partial 16S ribosomal RNA". It matches the Rfam family "Bacterial small subunit ribosomal RNA", at positions 28 to 523 of the family's 1533-position model. The record is from RNAcentral.